RNAcentral lists this ribosomal RNA (497 nucleotides) under uncultured bacterium. RNAcentral describes it as "partial 16S ribosomal RNA". It matches the Rfam family "Bacterial small subunit ribosomal RNA", at positions 28 to 507 of the family's 1533-position model. The record is from RNAcentral.
GAUGAACGCUGGCGGCGUGCCUAAUACAUGCAAGUCGAGCGAACGGACGAGAAGCUUGCUUCUCUGAUGUUAGCGGCGGACGGGUGAGUAACACGUGGAUAACCUACCUAUAAGACUGGGAUAACUUCGGGAAACCGGAGCUAAUACCGGAUAAUAUUUUGAACCGCAUGGUUCAAAAGUGAAAGACGGUCUUGCUGUCACUUAUAGAUGGAUCCGCGCUGCAUUAGCUAGUUGGUAAGGUAACGGCUUACCAAGGCAACGAUGCAUAGCCGACCUGAGAGGGUGAUCGGCCACACUGGAAGUGAGACAGGGACCAGACUCCUACGGGAGGCAGCAGUAGGGAAUCUUCCGCAAUGGGCGAAAGCCUGACGGAGUAACGCCGCGUGAGUGAUGAAGGUCUUCGGAUCGUAAAACUCUGUUAUUAGGGAAGAACAUAUGUGUAAGUAACUGUGCACAGCUUGACGGUACCUAAUCAGAAAGCCACGGCUAACUACGUG